UUCCGGUUGAUCCUGCCGGACCCCACUGCUAUCGGGAUAGGACUAAGACAUGCUAGUCGUGUGCCUCAGCCAAAACGAGGCACGGCGCACAGCUCAGUAACACGUGGCUAACCUGCCCUUAGGACGAGAAUAACCCCGGGAAACUGGGGCUAAUGCUCGAUAGGUGAAGAACUCUGGAAUGAGUCUUCACUUAAAAGAGUCUGCGUUAUGCUCGUAGAUUUCGCUUAAGGAUGGGGCCGCGACCGAUCAGGUUGUUGGUGAGGUAAUGGCUCACCAAGCCUUUUACCGGUGCGGGCCGUGAGAGCGGGAGCCCGGAGAUGGGCACUGAGACAAGGGCCCAGGCCCUACGGGGCGCAGCAGUCGCGAAAACUUUGCAAUACACGAAAGUGUGACAGGGCUAUCCCGAGUGCCAUCCGC
This 417-nucleotide ribosomal RNA is filed under the name uncultured archaeon. RNAcentral describes it as "bacterial SSU rRNA". It matches the Rfam family "Archaeal small subunit ribosomal RNA", at positions 1 to 395 of the family's 1478-position model. The record is from RNAcentral.